AGCAAUAGAUCGGGAAUUUGAAAAGAUUGUCUUAAUUUCAAAACAAAUUGUAUUUUGUUAUUUUGGGCAUAAGCCCACUUAUUUGUUAUACUUGUUAGUUCUUAGGACAGGUGAAAGAAUUGGGCCUAAGGCCCAAAUAUCAGGUGCAAGUGAUUCGAAUGGGCCUUCCACCCAAAACAAGAUUAGGCCCAAGUACUGGCCCAGGCGAA
This 209-nucleotide long non-coding RNA is filed under the name Solanum tuberosum (potato). Its description in RNAcentral is "long non-coding RNA (STUB_LNC000616)". Lineage: Eukaryota; Viridiplantae; Streptophyta; Magnoliopsida; Solanales; Solanaceae. The record is from RNAcentral.